GACGUAGGUGGCGAACGUUAUCCGGAAUCAUUGGGCGUAAAGGGUGCGUAGAUGGCAUGAUAAGUUAUUAGUGGGAAAUCGAGGCUCAACCUCGUGGAAGCUAGUAAUACUGUUUUUGCUUGAGUACAGAAGAGGUUAAUGGAAUUCCAUGUGGAGCGGUAAAAUGUGUAGAUAUAUGGAAGAACAUCAAUAACGGCGAAGGCAGUUAACUAUUCUGUUACUGACAUUGAGGCACGAAAGCGUGGGGAGCAAAACGG
This 257-nucleotide ribosomal RNA is filed under the name uncultured bacterium. Its description in RNAcentral is "partial 16S ribosomal RNA". It matches the Rfam family "Bacterial small subunit ribosomal RNA", at positions 524 to 776 of the family's 1533-position model. The record is from RNAcentral.